AGCAGCCGCGGUAAUUCCAGCUCCAAUAGCGUAUAUUAAAGUUGUUGCAGUUAAAAAGCUCGUAGUUGAAUUUCGGGAUCAAUACGUCGGUCGUGCUUUCGGGUACGUACUGGCGUCAUUGGUUUCUCCUUUUUGACGAACCAUGAUGUCAUUUAAUUUGGUGUUAGUGGGGAGUUAGGACUGUUACUUUAGAAAAAUUAGAGUGUUUAAAGCAAGCUAACGCUUGAAUACAUUAGCAUGGAAUAAUGAAAUAGGACGUUCGAUCCUAUUUUGUUGGUUUCUAGGAUUGACGUAAUGAUUAAUAGGGAUAGUUGGGGGCAUUAGUAUUCAAUUGUCAGAGGUGAAAUUCUUGGAUUUAUUGAAGACUAACUACUGCGAAAGCAUUUGCCAAGGAUGUUUUCAUUAAUCAAGAACGAAAGUUAGGGGAUCGAAGACGAUCAGAUACCGUCGUAGUCUUAACCAUAAACUAUGCCGACUAGGGGUCGGAUGAUGUUAAUUUUUUAAUGACUUCAUUCGCGCC
This 520-nucleotide ribosomal RNA is filed under the name uncultured Glomus. RNAcentral describes it as "SSU rRNA". It matches the Rfam family "Eukaryotic small subunit ribosomal RNA", at positions 569 to 1086 of the family's 1831-position model. Lineage: Eukaryota; Fungi; Glomeromycota; Glomeromycetes; Glomerales; Glomeraceae. The record is from RNAcentral.